AUGGCUGUCGUCAGCUCGUGUCGUGAGAUGUUGGGUUAAGUCCCGCAACGAGCGCAACCCUUGCCAUUAGUUGCUACAUUCAGUUGAGCACUCUAAUGGGACUGCCGGUGACAAACCGGAGGAAGGUGGGGAUGACGUCAAGUCCUCAUGGCCCUUAUGGGUAGGGCUACACACGUCAUACAAUGGCGGAUACAGAGGGUUGCCAACCCGCGAGGGGGAGCUAAUCUCAGAAAGUCCGUCGUAGUCCGGAUUGCAGUCUGCAACUCGACUGCAUGAAGUCGGAAUCGCUAGUAAUCGCGGAUCAGCAUGUCGCGGUGAAUACGUUCCCGGGCCUUGUACACACCGCCCGUCACACCAUGGGAGUGGGGUUCACCAGAAGCAGGUUGCCUAACCGCAAGGAGGGCGCCUACCACGGUGAGCUUCAUGACUGGGGUGAAGUCGUAACAAGGUAGCCGUAUCGGAAGGUGCGGCUGGAUCACCUCCUUUCAAGAGCAUGCCCAAGCUCCAGCGUCCACACUUAUCGGCUGUACGAAAUACUGACUGGAAGCGUCCUGGCGGCAAUAGCACCACGCGCCGGGGCAGGCCCGGUUUGCAAGCCGUCAGGGUCUAUGCCGCGCGGGUCUGUAGCUCAGCUGGUUAGAGCACCGUCUUGAUAAGGCGGGGGUCGAUGGUUCGAACCCAUCCAGACCCACCAACGAGCUCCCAGGCAAUGCGGCUCGGGGCCAUAGCUCAGUUGGGAGAGCGCCUGCUUUGCAAGCAGGAGGUCAUCGGUUCGAUCCCGAUUGGCUCCACCAGUUUUCCAGAGGGCAACGCAAAAUUGCGGCCGUAGUUUCGACGCGAUUUUGCGAUGCGCUUUGUGCAUCGGCUGUUCUUUAACAACUCGGAUGAAGUAAAGCGACCUCGAAAUGUUUCUGUUUCGAGGUCACUGGGUGAUUGUAUGUAACAAGCGCUCCCUGUAAUCCUUUACGUCAGUGUUCAGGGUUAUAGGGUCAAGUGAAUAAGUGCAUGUGGUGGAUGCCUUGGCGACAACAGGCGAUGAAGGACGUUGCAGCCUGCGAUAAGCUUCGGGGAGCUGGCAAGCAAGCCUUGAUCCGAAGAUUUCCGAAUGGGGAAACCCGG
Molecule: small RNA, 1119 nt
Filed under: uncultured Nitrosomonadaceae bacterium
Lineage: Bacteria; Pseudomonadati; Pseudomonadota; Betaproteobacteria; Nitrosomonadales; Nitrosomonadaceae
Description: bacterial SSU rRNA
Rfam family: Bacterial small subunit ribosomal RNA (bases 1-486)
Source: RNAcentral